RNAcentral lists this ribosomal RNA (263 nucleotides) under uncultured bacterium. RNAcentral's name for it is "partial 16S ribosomal RNA". It matches the Rfam family "Bacterial small subunit ribosomal RNA", at positions 49 to 329 of the family's 1533-position model. The record is from RNAcentral.
CUGUAACACAUGCAAGUCGAACGAGGACCUUGCGGGUCUAGUGGCGCACGGGUGCGGUAACGCGUGGGAAUCUGCCCUUUGCGUUCGGAAUAACAGUUAGAAAUGACUGCUAAUACCGGAUGAUGUCUUCGGACCAAGGAUUUAUCGGCAAAGGAUGAGCCCGCGUAGGAUUAGGUAGGUGUGGUGGGGUAAAGGCCUACCAAGCCGACGAUCCUGUAGCUGGUCUGAGAGGAUGAUCAGCGCACACUGGGACUGAGACACGG